GAGCUGAUGCAUUUGGUGUGAUCUGCACCUUCAUGAACACAGAUGAAUUAUAAUGAGUCUUGUCCUGCUCAUUGUUCAUCAAUGAAAAGAUCUGGGCAGGUAAAUAGCAAUCUCCAUUAGAAGAAUUUGAACCAUAACGAAAUAUAGCUGCUUUGCACGAACAGUUACCCAGACAUGCUUGCUUACAGCUAUCCAUAUUGGUACUAGUAAUAUCUACAUUAAAUGUGAAGUAAGCCAUAUCUUUUAGCUCAAGAAAAUUAUGAUAUCGUGAAGCAUUGCAAUUCAAAGGAGUGAUCUCAGAACAGCCAAGAUUUGGCUGCCUUCCAUUUAUUUGUGUAAAAUAGUUCAUUGAAGCAUUGACUGAUCUAGGACAACUGCACUGCCCAUUCGAGCAGAUGCCAUUUUCUCCACAAACCGUGGGGUAAUUGCAAUCACCAAGAUAACCAGCAAGAAUAUCAAACACCUCUUUCCACCCGUCUGCCCACUCAUAUAGUCUCAAAUGCCCAUCGGACCCCAAUUUCAUGUACUGAGCUGAGGAAAUCUGAGGCAGGGUAAUCACUGAAUCCGGAUCCCUUGGUUCAGAAGAAUGUAUAUACAAGGCUAAGCUUCCGUUUUGGAACUUGGCAUAGCUUGAUUCUUUAUUUGCCUUUGUAUUAUCAACUAACUGUUGAUAAUAAAUUUGUGGAGGAUUUGCUUUUACAGCAGCAAACAAACCUUCGUUGUUAACAAACAUAGAGAACAAACCUCCUUCAGUUGAGUUGGUAAUUGAAGCACUAGCCGUCAACUUCUGCCCAGAUACCAAUUUUUGCCCUGGAACCAAAGCAUCAGUAGGAUGAUCAAAAGAUUGCCAGACCACCAAGUUAUUCAUAUCAAAGAGAACCAGGUUUCCUUCCUCGGUCAAGUUUAAACCUGCGACAGAUCUUCCUCUCGUGUUUGUAGACCAAACUGAAGUCCCAUCAGCAUCCCGUAAAACCAAAUCUCCUCCUGAUGUAAGUUGCAGGGUUGCAUUGAUUUUGACAGGAUUAUUUCGGUUAGCCGACCAGACAACUUGUGGAAAUCCUGAGCUUGGCAUGACAAUGUAUGAAACACUGUUAGUCUGAACAAUAAAGAUUGCAAACAUAUAGCUAUCACAUGUGCCGUUGCAAAAGAACCCACAAGCAUAUCUAGGCCCAAAUGUUCCUCUGAGCAGAAUGGCUCUCACCUUUGAGCCAUCUGUAAAAUCAACAGAAUGGUUAGCUGAGACACUAUUGAUCCACGUAGUAGACAAAUUUGCAGUAGGAUAAUCAAAAGGCUGUCCAUCUACUAACUGAAGAGAAAGAAGAACGGAGAUAAUUAUAAAAUUCCAACAUUUUGGAAACAUUUUCAGCAGUUCUUAGAUAGCUGGAGGAGAGGGAUUAAGGUCCUAGGAAUAAGAGAGCCCCUCUUUGGAAAUAUAGCCGUCGGUGCAGAGACCGACGAAAGGAAAAUAUUUUAUAAUCGGAGUUAUAUUUUUGUUCCCUUCAAGCUUUCAUUAUAAAAAGUAGUAUUCUAUAAUAAUCUAACUUUUAAUUAAACUCAAGUUAUUUUUAUUCCCUUCAAGUUAAGUAUUAUAUGACAAUCUAACUUUUAAUUACAUUUACUUAGGAUUAUUAUAACAUUGAUAAGAGCAAACAAUCAUUGGUAGCUAGCUAGUAUAGCUUUUAAAUAGCAACUAAUUUGUCUUUAUGUAAAUUUAUGAUAAACCAACCCCUAAUGUAAGAUUGAUUUGAAUUUAAAAAAAAAAAGUUAGAAAACUAACCCCAAAAUGUAAGAUCAAGAGUAUUAGUUAAAAACAAACACAAAAUGUAACAAUUUUUAAUGUACUUGCUUAUAAUUGAUCAUAUGAUAUUGAGAAAGGAAUAAUUCAAACAAAUGAUGUUAAUUCAAUAAUUGAUGUAUUGCUCGUAUCCCUUGCGUUGCUAGGAAAUAAAAUGAUUGGAGAGUCCAAAUUUGAUAUCUUGUCUUUUACAACUAAAAACAUCUUAUUGUUAGUUAUCGUACAACUUUCGUUUUAAAUUUAUUACACUUUAUUUGCUAUAAUAUUGUUUUACUAGUAAUAGAUAAUGUGCUAUGCACGUGAUUAUAAUAUCAUAAAAUAUAAUAUUCUCAUACAUUAAUAUUGGCACUAGCUUUGCACUUGCCUUGAUGAUGAUGAAAAUAAUGGAACAUUAUUUUUUUUCUAAAUCAAUAAAUAUGAUAUAAUAAAUUUUAAACAUGAUAAUAAAUUAAAAAGAACAUAAUAUGAAACUUCAAUAAUCAAUUAAUAAAGGUGUAAUUGAAAUAACAAAAACUAAAAUUAUAACAAUGCUUACACUUACAUUUUAAAUGAAAAUAUCAAAAUUCACCGUACUUUUUAUAUAAUAAUGAUAUUAAUAAUUAUUAUAUGUGUGACAACAACAACAAUCCCCCACCAACCACAAACACAGAAAAAGACUUAAAAUCUUGACCCGUCAUUGGUUGGAUGUGAACAAGGGAUUAGACCACAACUGUUCAGAAGUUUCCUGCAGGCAGAUCUAGCAAGUUUACUUUUUGAUUUGUUGGGCAAAUCUUUUCUGCAGACAUGAUACUCAACUCGUGUAGGACCAUCUGAAGCUUCUUGUUUUCUUCUAAACUAGGAGGGGUCACCGCGCAAGUGCGCGGUGUGAAAUUUUAAUUUUGCCCAGUUAUUUUUAAUGUUGCCUAAUUAUUGCCCUCUAAACAAAAUUUCUAUGAAAAAAAAAUAUAAUGUUGCAAUUGUAUAAGAUUUAAACUAAAAAAAGUUACAAUUACAAUUUGUCAUACAGUGAAAACUUUGAUAUUUGUUCAUAGUCAAGGAAUUCAUAAUAAAUAGAUGAAACAAUAAAAUCAGUCUUGCAAAAUCUCGAAACAUGAAGUCUAACUUUCAUGAUUCCAAUAGAAACAUAUUUUAACGCAAACCAAAAACAAAAAUUUCUUUCAUUCGUACUCGUCCAAGUCCAAGAAGCGUAAUGAGCAACUUUGGAAAGAAACUACUGAAAGAAACCUGCCAUGUAUAACACCGAGAAAGUAAGAUAUAAUCCAUCAGAAUUAGUUUACUAUAUAACACCAAGUUAAAAAUAAAUCAAGAGAAUUGAAUGAUGCCACCAAGGACAGGACAAAUUCAGCAAACAACAGCACUUGUGGUUACUCAUAGUCCAAUACAAAAUUUGUUACCCUUGUUUUUUUCAACCCAUUUCACAAUCAGGAAAUUUUUUUCCAUUUUAUUUGGCUACAAUAAUUGUUGAAGUUGAUAGAUGAAAAGAUUCUUACACGCAAAGCUAAAGUAUCUUGCUUGCUAACUCGGGUUCUGACUGAAGUGAAAGUAUUGGAUGUGCUACAGUGUUAGAUCCUUAGAGAGUUAGAGAUGGUACGCAAGUAAACUUGUCCACAACUUGAUCAUGCAACUAUGCAAUUUACACAAAAUGCCAAUGGAAAAUAAGGUGAAAAUGGAAAUAAAAUGAUCAUGCAAUCAAAUAGGCCAGGAAGAUCCUAAAACGUUAAAAUGAAGCAGAAGCUUCUUCAGAGAGGAUGUCUUUAUAUUCUAAUGACAUACUCCAACCCAAAAGCCAAAAUACAUGCAGCUCUAAAUAAGGUUAUGUAAUUCGGCUUUUAUUUCCAGUAAGGUUCAUAUUACUCCAACACAGGCUAACCUAUUUCCUUAUUCCCUUUUUCUUUAUAAUGACAAAAGUCAAAUCUUGACAAAUCAUUGAAUAAGUCAUGUAGAUAGCAUACUUAGCAAAGCGAGCAGGAUGUUAUAGACUUUCAUCAAACAAAAUUGAUACAAAUUCCCAAAAAAAGGGGCCAAAGAUGGAAUUUCACUCACUUUAAGCAUUAAAAAGUUGUCCACAAAAUGUAAUAGUUGGCUGCAAAAAGGCGAAAAAUGACAAAGUCAUUACCAAAUAACUAAAACAGUUUAAUAGAAACAGUCAAUUGACACCAUCUUACACUAAAUUUCUUACCUGUAAAGAGUUGCUGGCAAUAUCAACUUGGAAAAAUGAAACUUUCUAAGAACAUGAAAAGGAAGUCAAACGAUAUUAUCUAAGGACACAAUCAUAAGUUCCAAUGCAAAAGCAUGAAAGCAUAGAAUAUUGGACCUCAAGUAAGGAUGAUUACUGAACGGAACUGUUUAAAAAAACCUUGACAACCUCUUAAUCAUGACUUCACUGGAAUUUUAGGGAAUACUUUAAUAAGAGGCAAAAUUUUCCACACUCCAUUUCUCAAACAGCUCUGAAAUAGAGAUAAAGAUAAUAGAAAAUUACAUUUGAAAAUUUAAUCAAGAGGAAAAAAGUAUACAUCGAACAGGAAUGGAGAAACAAGCAGAUUUCAGAGAGAAAGAAGGAAAAAUAAGAAUAGAAGGGAAUUUUGAGACAAAAGGCUCAAGUUCGAGAGGAUUGAGCUAUGAAAAAUUUUCAGAUGGGAAUUGAUUAGUCUUCUCAGUGUUGAACCCAAGAAAAAGAAUGACUGAAUAACAAACCAUACCUGUUAACACCAGCUAUUACUUCUUGAACGAGUGCACCAAAUGUAGCAUUUGAAGGACCUAAAACGCACAAACAAAACCACAUAAAAGUUGUUGCAUUCUGGAAAUAUAAGCUGGGCAAAUAGAUAUGAGACCCAAAUUCAUGCCUUAGUACAAGAAGUCACGAAUGAAGUGGAAGGGAGGCAUCCAACCUCUCAAGUGAAUACAAAGAUUUCUAGCCUCGAACACUUAUAAUCCAAAAUAAUACUCUCUGUCCCUUGGGUAUGGCGAAACCUUCAAGAUUUUAAUCCACUUUUAAUUUAAGAAAAAAAAGCCACUGAGAUGUCAAAGUGAAACACAAGAAAAAGAACGAUUGAAUAACAAAGCAUACCUGUUAACACUAGCUAUUACUUCUCGAAGGAGUGCAAAAGAGAGGUUUACCAAAUGCAGUGUUUGAAGAAGUACCUAAAUCCACAAACAAAACCACAUAAAAGUUUUGCAUUUUGGAAAUAUAAGCUACUAACAGAUGUAAGACUCAACAAUUCAGAAAUAUCCUAGAAGUUGUGUAUGAAUCAGAAUUGUUCACUUUAGUAAAGAAGCAUUUUUCAUGUGAGAUUUUAAAGUAAAUAAAACAGAAUAACAAAACCGCUAAACAAAAAUAGGUUACGGCACAUAAGUUGCCAUCUUUACAGACUAUUAAAUACAAAUUUAUACACAAUACACAUCAAGUAGUCAGGACAACCCAUCAUUUACAAGCAAUAAUAGGCCCCUAAAGAAUUAUAGAAUGACAGGUUUGACAAACAAAGCAAGGAAAGGGGAAAUGUAUAAACAACAGAUUAUCCCAAAACUAUAUGCAAGCAAAGGAAAAAGAAGAAUUUUAAGAAAUCCACAAUAUCAUAUAAAAAUAAACUGCAUUUGAUUAUGCAGGGAGCAAACAAAGAAUGGAAGGUUGUUAGAAAACAAAUUUAAGAAAAUAAAAUCAAGCUUCUAAAUGCAGAAAGAAUUCAGUUAAGAUUUAAGAAUAUUAUCGAAUCAAUUUGCCAAGUGGCCAAAAAGAAAGAGACAACACAAAAUAUUGUGUUAACGAUGCCAGGGAAAAAUAUGCAUUUACAUGUGAAAAAAAAAGAGCAUAGAUUUCAAGUAAAAUGAGAAGGAAAAACCUGGAACAAGAAUAGUAAGUUGGUAUUAGGAAUAAACCGACAAAUUAAAAUGAUACAAAUAACUAAUUCUGAAAAACAAAAUUACAGAACAUGGAGAGGCAAGCCAAACCGGGAGGUUCAGAAACCUACAAGAUUUCUCAAGCCUAGGGUCAGAGACCUUGUUUCAGGAUUUCCUGACUCGUUAGCAAUUUUUAUACCUCAGAAAUCAUAUACCCACCUUCCCUAUCAUUUAAGAGUCCUCAACAUUGUACACUUAAAAAAAAUAUGCUUGUAGUAAGAAACCAUUGAUAAUAAACCCAGCAGGGCCUCGUAUGGUUCUACUUUGACCAUCAAGUAAGAUCACUUACUUCAAAAUUUUUCAAUACAAAAAAAUUAUACUCCAAGCAAUUUAAACUACCAGUAAUUUAAAGCAAAUUUUACUAACAUAAGGAUAUUUGCACUAAAAAAAAUUCAUAGUUGAAACUUAAUUAAUCAAAAGUGGAUUUAACAGAUAAAAACGGACACACAGAGAGAGAGAGAGAGAGAGAGAACCCUUCUGGGAAGCUUUAACAGAUAACCCUAAACCCGUCAAAUUCUUCUCUUAAUUCUUCAUUUAUACCCUAACAAUAACAAAUAAACAAAUGAAAACACAAUAAAUCAAUUCAUACAAAUACAUAAAACGGCACUUCAAAUUUUUCUGAAAGAUCCUAGAUCUCUUAGAGCAUAUUAGUUAACAAAAAAAUACAAGAAAAUAGAAAGUGACAAUUUUUUCCCAUCUCUUUUUCACAAAAAAAAAAAAAACUACAAGUAGUCCUUAGGCAAGAAAAGGGGAAAAGGGGUUUCCUUUCUAAAGAGAAAGAGAGAAAAGUAAAAAACUCUGACUUUUGCUUCUCCAAAUAACCCAUAUAAAACAUCAAGACACGAGAUGGGGUUCCAAAAUUCUAACCAUAGGAUUUAUGCAAAAUCUUGACAGUAAGGGCUUCUUUGGAUCCCAAACUCUAACCGGAAAGCUCUUUAACAUAUACAUUCCAGAGGAUUCCACUACCAGUUGCUAAAAAAUCAGGCAAUAACUUAGGAAGGAAAUAGAAAAACAAAAGAGACGCACUUUAUAAAAAAGGGAAAAAAGUUACACAAACUCACUCUCAUCGGGAUGCUGGAUGCUAAAAGACAUUUCCAUUUUUUUUGCACCUGCAACAUCAAAGAUAUAUACAAAUUAAUAUAUAAAAAUUUGACUGCUAAGCCCCCACACAAAAAAAGAUCCAAAAGGCUAGAGAGAGAAAGAAGAAGAGAUUAGAAACCCAAAAAAAAUCCCAACCAUCCUCGUUGUUGUUGUUGUGCUCAAUCAAAAUCGGAAAGAAAAAAAAAAUGACGAAGAAGAUGAGAGAGAUGAGGGGAUAAUUGAAGAGAAAGAUAAGGAAAAGAGGGACGAUGAUGAAAAAAUGAAAGAGAAAAAAAACCGUUUCUUAUUUUUUUCAAGCCAACAAACCUCCAAGCAAAAUAUGGAACCAUUUUUUUUCUUUAUCAUUCUUCUGGGUUAGAUUAGCUUAGAAGAUAAAGGUAAAGAAAACAUAAAAAUGAAGAGAAUAUGAGGGCUUUCUGAAGAAAGAAAAAGAAAGAGAUGAUGAUUGAGAGAGGCGAUUGACGGAGAGAGAGAGGAAAGAAAGUUCUUCUGAAGCAUCGAGCCCAAUGCGAGAGUCAAAUCUCACCAGAAACUCUGAUAACAGGUCAAUCUGUCCACUGGGUUUCUUCCCCCAACAAAAGAAAGAGAACACGUUAGUGGAUGACCAAAGUUGACGCCUAAGCCACAUUACCAACACACCCUUGUUAAAACAACGAACCUGUAUAGAUAGAAGGACGUAAAUAGGUGAAGGCCAAAGGGCUACAACCGUAAUAUUAACUAAUCUCCUAGCCCAACGAUCCAUUACCAAAUAACAACUCUACUGUUUGUGACCAAACAAAGAAGCAACCGGGCACCACCAACGUCUGACAAGAUUCAUGUCAUCAACAGCCAACCAAUCACCCGGCGACACACCCGAGGACGACCACACCGACGUCUGCUACGUUUUGAAAGACACAAAAACAGAAGAAGGAACAGACGACGUCGUUUGGUUUAUCGGGGGAAGAAGAAGAAAAGCCCUCAAACAAAUACAAGAGGGAGGACAACCAAGUGCCAUAUCACCUCCAGCCAAUCUCCAGUUGCCACAUGGGCGGACGACCAUCCUAGGUGGCAGGAGGCGGUUCCCUCUUUAUCUAUAUGGUUAAUAAAAAGCAGCCUACUGAAAACCAGCUCAAGGCAUCGAGUGGUGCACAGAUAAACGGCAAUCCAAAUGCAAUGUUUUAAAAACCGGACCGUUCGUUGAAUCGGUCAAGUGAAAGGGUCGAGAUUCAAUCGGUCGGACCGAUUCAACCUCGGUUCAAUGAAUUUUUUAAAAAAUUAUUUAUAUAAAUAUAUAUAUGUACAAAAUAAGACAUAUAAUGGAUUAAUUUAAUACUUUAUAUGAUGAAAGGUUUACUAUUUUUUAAUAACUUGAAUUUUUUAAAAAUAAAAUUUUUAAAUUAUAAGUUAAAACAAAUAAAUUUCAUCUCAAUUUCAAUUAUAUCUAAAUCCAACCCAAAAAUAUAACAAUAUUUUGAAAUUAUACAAAAUUCACGUCUAUAAGAAUUUACAUAUUGUGAAUUUAAAUUUUAAUUUACGUUUUAGAGAUUGCAAUUUAAAAAAGGAAGUUUGGAGUUCGAAGGAAGUCAAGAAAAUCGAAAAUAGAAAUGUAAACUUGAUAAGAAACAAAAAAUGAGAUAAAAGUGAGUGGUUGUAGCAUUUAAUAAUUUGGGUUAAAAAAAUAAUUCUUUUUGAACUUUUUUCAAUUUAAUGGACAAAAACAAAAUUAAAAGAUGGAAGAAAACAUCAAUAAAUUAAAAAUAAAGAGGUUUGAUUAAAAAGAGAGUGACGAAAAAAAAGAGGAUAGAGAGAGAGAGAGAGUUGAAAAUUAAAAAGAAAGAGCCAUGAGAGGAUGAGAUUUUGUAAGAAAAAUGGAAAAAAGAAAUAUGAGUGUUUGCUUUAUAUAAAUAAGUUAUCAAAAAAAAUUAAAUUAAUAGGAUGUGAUGGUGCAACGGUUAAUACAUUGAUUUUCUAUUACAAAUGUCUUGAAUUCGAAUUUUGAUAGCUACAUUUUGUAACAAAAAAAAAAAGGAAGGUUGAAAACCGGUUCAAUAGCGGUUCGACCGCAGUUUUUACGAUUCGACCGGUUUUUGACCGGUUUUCUGACAAAGUCAACUAUAGCAUUGAACCAGACCGGUGUCAUGGCCGGUUCGUGGUUCAAUCGGUCGAACCGGCCGGUCCGAUCCGAUUUUCAAAACAUUGCCGAAACGCAUAUGCCAUUGACUGUGGUCCCGCUAGACACAUUCAAUGUUUUAAAUUUAGGGAUAAUUGCAGAAACCUCCCCUGAGGUUUCUGACAUUUGCACUGAACUCCCCUAUAGUUUGAAAAAUUACACUGACCUCCCCUGAGGUUACUAAUCCUUUACAAAUUCAGUCCAAACGAUUAAAAUAUUAUUUUAGAGAGUGAAAUUAGAAUUUUGUACCAAAUUUGUCCUUUGUACUACAUGCCCAAUGAAUGACAAAAUACUACAAAUCAAUUAACAAUUAAUAAACUUUAAGGAGUAUAGUUUAUAGGCAAAUAAGCAUUACCUAUUUAAAGUACCGGCUCUUUACGGGUAUUUUAUUUUCAAACAUUUAAUUUAAUACAACUAUUUACGCUCAAAUACAGAUUUGUAUUUACUUUUAAAUAAUUUUUGUUAAAUACAAAAACUACCAAUCUCUCUUCCGUAAAAAUAUUAAUAUAACACUUUUUCAAUUUUAGUUAAAACCAUUUAUGUAUUUAACAUAAAUUAAAUGAUUCAGAAUAAAAUACCCAUAAUGAGCCAAUAUUUUACUCAUGUAAUGGAUGAAAGACAUAAAGAAUUAAUAAGUUAUGAAUCAUUUCUUUUUUAAAAAAAAUAUUUAAUUUAUAUUAAAUAAGUAUCUACCGAUUUCCUUUUUGCAAGAAUAUUACUGUAACACUUUUUAAAUUUUACUCACAAAUAUUGAUAUAUUAUCAUGAAUUAAAUGUUUGAAAGUAAAAUAUCCAUAAAGAACCGGCACUUUAAAUGAAUAAUGCGUGUUUGCCCAUAAAGAGCCGGUAACUAUUUAAAGUACCGGCUCUUUACGGGUAUUUUAUUUUCAAUUAUUUAGUUUAAUACAAAUAUUUACGCUCAAAUACAUAUUUGUAUUUACUUUCAAAUAUUUAAUUUUUAUUAAAUACAAAACCUACAUAUCUCUCUUCCGUAAAAAUAUUAAUAUAACACUUUUUCAAUUUUAGUUACAAACAUUUAUGUAUUUAAUAUAAAUUAAAUGAUUCAGAAUAAAAUGCACAUAAAGAACGAAUACUUUACUUAUGUAAUGGAUGAAAGUUAUAAAGAAUUAAUACUUUAUAGGUCAUUUUUUAAAAAAAAAUAUUUAAUUUAUAUUAAAUAAAUAACCUACCAAUUUCCAUUUUGCAAGAAUAUUACUAUAACACUUUUGAAAUUUUACUUACAAAUAUUGAUAUAUUUAUCAUAAAUUAAAUGUUUGAAAGUAACAUACCUGUAAAGAGCCGGUACUUUAAAUAAGUAAUGCGUAUUUGCCCACAAAUUAUACUCCUUAAAGUUUAUUGAUUAUUAAUUGAUUUAUAAUACUUUGUCAUUCAUUGGACAUGUAGCACAAAGGACAAAUCUGGUACAAAAUUAUAAUUUCACUUUUUAAAACAAUAUUUUAAUCGUUUGGACUAAAUUUGCAAAGAAUUAGUAACCUCAGGGGAGGUUAGUGUAAUUUUUCAAACUACAGGGGAGGUCAGUGCAAAUGUCAGAAACCUCCCCUGAGGUUUCUGACAUUUACACUUACCUCCCCUGUGGUUUGAACAAUUACACUGACCUCCCCUGAGGUUACUAAUCCUUUACAAAUUCAGUCCAAAUGAUUAAAAUAUUAUUUUAGAGAGUGAAAUUAGAAUUUUGUACCUGAUUUGUCCUUUGUGUCACAUGUCCAAUGAAUGGCAAAGUAUUACAAAUUAAUUAACAAUUAAUAAACUUUAACGAGUGUAGUUUAUAGGCAAAUACGUAUUGCCUAUUUAAAAUACCAGUUCUUUACAUGAAUUUUAUUUUCAAACAUUUACUUUAGGGAAAAUCGUCCAAAACGUCCCUCACAUUUUGUAAAAUGACUUUUCGUCCCUCACUUUUAAAAGUGUAAUUUUAUGUCCCUUACAUAUUCACAUCAGUCAAAUUUAGUCCCUAACUAAGUUUCCGAUCAUUUUUUUGCCGGAAUCCAUCACGUGCAAGGCACGUGAUCAUUUUUGAAGGGUAAAUUUGUCAAAUUAUAUUUUACAUAAUCUGAUCUAUAGUCCUCCACAUUUUAUAAAAUAAAUUUUUUCGUCCCUCACAUUUUAUAAAAUGAUUUUUUCAUCCCUCACAUUUCACAAAAUGAAUUUCUCCAUCCCUCACAUUUCAAAAAAUGAAUAUUUCCAUCCCUCACUAAUUAUGUAUGUGAGGGAAACCCUAAAAAAAAAAUGUGCGUGAAUACAUUUUGUUUAAACACAUGUAUAUGUCUAUUUGAUUUUGUUUAAUAAUACGAAUAGCAUAAAUAUAUGUAUGUGUCUAUUUGAUUUCACUUAACAAUACGAAUACCAUAUAUUAUACGUGAUCAUUUGAAUUAAUCUGGUAUUAGCUAGUAAAUAAUUUUGCAUUCAUUGUCAAGUUGGCCAAUAAAGUUAUUUUCGGUCAAAAUACAAUAAGAAUAUGCAAAUUAAGGUUCUAUUGGUAAAUAUUAGUCAUAAUCGUACAAAAAGAGAAGAUAGCCCAUAAGUUGGGUCCAAUUACAUACAUGUGUUUAUGCUAUUAUUAUUAAGCAAAAUAAAAUAAACAUAUACAUGUGUUUAAAAAAAUGUAUUCACACACAUAAUUAGUGAGAAAUGAAAAUUCAUUUUUUGAAAUGUGAGGGAUGGAGAAAUUCAUUUUGUGAAAUGUGAGGGAUGAAAAAAAUCAUUUUAUAAAAUAUGAGGGACGAAAAAAAUUAUUUUAUAAAAUGUGGAGGACUAUAGAUCAGAUUAUGUAAAAUAUAAUUUGACAAAUUUACCCUUUAAAAAUGAUCACGUGCCUUGCACAUGAUGGAUUUCAGCCAAAAAAUGAUCGGAAACCUAGUUAGGGACUAAAUUUGUCCGAUGUGAAUAUGUAAGGGAUAUAAAAUUACACUUUUAAAAGUGAGGGACGAAAAAAGUUAUUUUACAAAAUGUGAAGGAUGUUUUGGACGAUUUUCCCUUUACUUUAUCACAAAUAUUUAUUCUCAAAUACAUAUUUGUAUUUACUCUCAAAUAUUUAAUUUUUGUUAAAUACAAAACCUACCAGUUUUUCUUCCGUAGAAAUAUUAAUAUAACAUUUUUUCAAUUUCAAUUACAAAUAUUUAUGUAUUUAACAUAAAUUAAAUGAUUCAGAAUAAAAUACUCAUAAAGAGCUAAUACUUUACUCAUGUAAUGGAUGAAAGCCAUAAAAAAUUAACAUUUUAUAGGUCAUUUCUUUUUUUUUUAAAUUUAUAUUAAAUAGAUGACCUAUCGAUUUUCUUUUUACAAGAAUAUUAGUGUAACACCUUUUAAUUUUUAAUUACAAAUAUUGAUAUAUUUAUUGUAAAUUAAAUAUUUAAAAAUAAAAUACAUGUAAAGAGCCGGUACUUUAAAUAAGUUAUGCGUGUUUGCUUAUAAACUAUACUCCUUGCUUAAAUCAAUAAACUACACUCCUUAACUUAAAUCAAUAAACUAUACUCCUUACUUUAAAUAGUGUAGUUUAUAGGCAAAUACGCAUAUCCUAUUUAAAGUAUCGGCUCUUUACAGAUAUUUUAUUUUCAAAUAUUUAAUUUAUGAUAAAUAUAUUAACAUUUGUAAUUAAAAAUUAAAAAGUGUUAAAGUAAUAUUUUUGCAAAAAAAAAUCAGUAGGUUAUCUAUUUAAUAUAAAUUAAAUAUUUUUUAAAAAAUAAAUGACCUCAUAAACUAUUAAUUUUUUAUGACUUUCAUCCAUUACAUGAGUAAAGUAUUGGCUCUUUAUGGAUAUUUUAUCCUGAAUCAUUUAAUUUAUGUUAAAUACAUAAAUAUUUAUAACUAAAAUUGAAAAAGUGUUAUAUUAAUAUUUCUACGGAAGAAAAACUGGUAGGUUUUGUGUUUAACAAAAAUUAAAUAUUUGAGAGUAAAUACAAAUCUAUAUUUGAGAAUAAAUAUUUGUAAUAAAGUAAAUGUUUGAAAGUAAAAUACAUGUAAAGAGCUGGUACUUUAAAUAGGUAAUACGUAUUUGCCUAUAAACUACGCUCGUUAAAGUUUAUUAAUUGUUAAUUAAUUUGUAAUACUUUGCCAUUCAUUGGGCAUGUGGCACAAAGGACAAAUCAGGUACAAAAUUCUAAUUUCACUCUCUAAAAUAAUAUUUUAAUCAUUUGGACUGAAUUUGUAAAGGAUUAGUAACCUCAGGGGAGGUCAGUGUAAUUGUUCAAACCACAGGGGAGGUAAGUGUAAAUGUCAGAAACCUCAGGGGAGGUUUCUGAAAUUAUCCCUUAAAUUUAUCCUCUCUGUUUUCUGUUCCUGUUUAGGGUUGAUGCUGGACCGAGUAGCUUUAGCUUGCAAGCCACUCGUACAGCAGCUCGGCUCGAGUUCAAUUUGACUGAGUUCGAGUUGCUUGAUAGAAGCAGCGAGCCGAGUUCGAGUUUUAAUAUUUUGCACUCGAGCCUAAUCGAGGUUUUAUAAUAUAUAUUUUAAUUUUUAUUAUUGUGAAAUAUCAAUAAUAUCUUUUAUUUAAAAUUAUAUGUAAAAUAUUAAUUUUUAUUACGGGAGUUUGAUUAGGGUGGAUUGAACUCGAAUAAGCUCGAUUGAGCUUGAUUUGAAUUGAUUAUAUUUAAUUAAGCUCGAGCUCAAUCUCGAGCUUAGCUAUUUUACCUCGAAUAGUGUUCGAGCUCGACUCGACUUGAACGCACCCCUAUUCCUGUUCAAGAAUAAUCUAGCAGCCUAACACCCAAUAAGAAACAUAAUGGCUUUAGACAUAAUGGGUUUUUCCAGCUUUUGACUAAAUCAGCUUAGUAAUUGAAGAACUUGUAAUAGCCAUGUUGACUUGUUCUAUUUGUUUUAGUCGUUUCAAUCUCUUUAUUUGCAAUUGUACUUCUUGUUCAUGAGGUUUCGAACACAGACUGAGGUUAAGGAUCAUGAUGGCUGAAAAUUACAGAAAGAUUAUUGCCCCAUGCGUUGACCUUCCUCAAAAACUUUCCAGGAAUGGCAGAUGAUUACUUAUUCAAGAGUACAGAAUGAGUGUCUAAACUUGACGAAAAGGAAAAGCAAAAGGAAUACGGGGAGCCGGUUGUUUAAGCCUACUUCCCUUUCCUUAUCAAUCCAAUGAUAAGGAAAAUAAUGUCAAAAUUAUUUUGACAGUCGGAAACAAUGUCAAAAUUUUGAUAGAGGAAAAUAAUGUUUCAUCUAAAAUACAAAUAUAUAGGCAUGUCCUUUCCAACAAAAAUUGGGACUUUUUUUUAUCCCCGGAGCAUAAUUGAAGCCUCUGGCUCCAAGUUCAUCACUGAAGUUAUUUGUCAUGGCUUUCAAAUCUACAUAUGAGAAUCUGAAGAGCAUCCCUGGCACUUGAUUCAAAUGAACUUCAUCAUAUUCCUGAAUUUUCAUGAACUUUACUAAUAGCAUGAAGCAAGCCCCAACAACUAGAAAAAUACCAAAGAUAGCUUCCAGACUGGAUCCAAUUAUAACUAUUACACUCCUUGAAUUGCUUUUAGGAGAAUUCACCAAGGCAUUGCUUCCCGUUGAAGUCUAUUGCACCUUAACAAAUAAAGAGACUGUUACACACUCCUCCAUCAUUUCUAAGGGAAAAUACUGCAUUCACUAACGAGCAACUCCCCCCUCAGAUUGCAAAAUGUAUCCACAAGUGAAUACCGAGCUUUACAAGAACAGUUCUUUAAACAGAACUCUUUACAUUGCUCCAACUUCAUGUUCUCACCAUAUAGAUUUGAGGUACUGUCAAAGUAACUGAUGUUUUCAAGUUCUAGAAGAGAAUGAUGCUGAUGAUGGUAACAAUCGAUUGGAGUAGUGAGGAAACAUCCAAUAUUGGGUUGUCUGAAAUUCACAGGUCUGAAAAAGCUUGUGUCACCAUUAUCAAUUUCAGAGCAACUGCAUUGAUUCCUUGAGCAAAUGCCAUACUUUCCCACAGCAUUGGGUAUCCGCAAUCGCCAGUGUAUAAGAGAUCACCUAUCACUACCCAAUCUCAAUUUGACGAGGCAUAAACCCUUAAAUGUCCAUCAGACUCUAAUUUCAUUACUUGGGCUGCGGGUGAAAGCGCGUAAUUGUCAAAGCUUCCGUUCUCAAACUUAACAUCAAGAGGUAUAGUUGCAGCACUUAAACCCUCGUACAUGUCUGAGUAAAAAUAGACCUGUGGUGGGCUGCAUUCAUUAUAGGAAACCAAGGUUCCAUUUUCAACUGCAAGGGAGUAUAUGCCUUGACUUGAAUUUGAAUCUGAUAUUCGAGAAGACAGCCUCUGACUGGAAUGAAGCUUCUGUCCGAGAACCAAAGAGUCUGUUUCGUGAUCAAAUGAUUGCCAAACAGAUCUACUCUUGCUGUCAAAGAGUAGUCGAUUUCCCAUUCCAGUCAAGUUUGAGCCUGCAACAGACUUGCCACCAGUACUGGUUGACCAAACUAUUCUACCAUCUGCAUCUGCCAAGAUCAAAUCUCCAUCUCGAGUGACAUUCAAGGUUGCAUUUGCUUUAACAGGAUUGUUUCUGUUAGGAGACCAGACUACUUGAGAGGAUUGUAUAGUGGGAUUGUCGGAACCAUCCCUUUGAUCUUCCGGGGAAAUAAGGGCUCCCAAAAUGUGAAAGCCCGAAUUUUUUUGUAAAUAAUGUUAUUAAUUAUUAUACUAGUUGUUUACUUAGUUAAUUUAUAUCUAUACAGGUUGAUGUUACUCUUGUUUUAUCUCAACCACCAAGUGAUAGUAAGAAUCCACAACCGACUCACUUUCCAUAUAGCCUAAAUAACCGACCUAACAUGCUAACAUGUCUUACAUAUUCCAUCUGAUCAUAUAGCGAAUUUAAUAGAUGUCAUGAUAGAGAGCGUAGGGAUUAACGUGAACUUGUAGAUAUUAUAGGAGACAAAUUAGGAGAUAAAGUAGGAAGAGAUAGAGGUUAGUUUGAGUGGUGGAGUUAUUUUAGGUAGAAGUGGCGACAACUAACUCCAACUAUAACUAGUCUAAUAGCAGUUAAAUUUUUACAGCGUUACAAGAGAAAACCAUAAAAAUAGAGAGUAAGAAAGUGUCAACGCAGCAGCGGAAGGAAAAAUGGAAAUCAAGGGAUUGGACAAAGGAAAGAAUACAAGAAUUCGACUCCUCUGACAAUGAACACGUAAGGUCGCGAACUCUUCUUUUAAUAGUUCUUAGUUUUCUCUUUUAUUAACCAAAGAUUUUCAUCUGUAGCAGCCCCGAAACAUGUCUGAAAUAUUAGAUACAAGUUUUUGUGAGUUUUGAUAAGUGUUCUUGUUUAAAUUAGGGAAAUUCAUAAGCCAUGCGAUUUCCUUUUGGUUAAUAAUAAUACUCUCCUCGUCCCACUUUGAUAGUCCUGAUUUUUUUUUUCACUAAGUUCAAGAAAAAGUAGUUAACUUUGUUGGAACAAUCAAUUUAGAUAACUAUUUUUCUAAAAUACCCUCACAUUAAUUAGAGUACAACUUUAUGGGAACUUGAAUUGAUAGUAAAAAAAAGAAUCAAUUCUCAUUAAAUAGGGUAGGUUUAUAGUAACAACAACUUAUAUUGAAUAAGGGUAUUUUAGAAAAAUUAAAAUACAACUACAUUCUUCAAUUGGAAAGUGAACUACAAUUUGGGACAGAUGAAAAAGAAAAACAGGACUAUCAAAGUGGGACGGGAGUAAUAGUUUGAAUGUAGAAAGUCAGAAGAAUACUCAAACCAAUGAAAAAGGUGAAAGUAACUGGACCGUGCUUUAUGUAAUAUGUUUGAGAGGAAUUGAUGAUUUCUUUUUUGAAGCACCUCUGUGGUUCUGCCUGUCAAUGGGGUUUGGUUAGAGAAUAGAAGGAAUUUUAUGGCAUAAGGGGCAUUGGAAGGCAAGGCCACCAUUUAUAUGAGUUAAAAGGACAAAGUAUUGGUGGUUAAUUCUUGGUUUUUCUGCUGGAAUGGAGGAAGAAAAUAAUAAAAUGGCUCAAUGCCUUAAGAUUAUUCUAUUCCUAAGUUUUCAACACAAAUAAAAGAUUGGCCAUGUCUUUCGUUUUCGUGAGGAUGCUCUGUUAGUAACAAGUAGGGGUGGGCAAAAAAACCCGCCGAUCCGAAAACCCGAUGAACCCGAUCCGAUCCGAUCCGAAAAAUAGGAUACCCGAUCCGAUUUUUCUUAGCGGGGCAGAUGAGGGUCCGGUACCCAAAAAAUCGGGUACGGAUACGGAUCAGAAAAAUAAAAACCCACGGGUACCCGACCCGCAGGGUAUAUUUUAUAAAUAUUAAAAAGUAGGGAUCAUUUUAUAAUUUUGUAAUUUUUAAUUCUAAGUGCAAGUGAAGUGGCUCGCAGCCUCAUAUUCUAAUUCUAUAUGAUCUACUCUUCUCAUUUUUUUGAAGAAAGCGAAUAUUCUCGGUGAAACAUGAACAAAAUGAAAAUUUUUUUUUGUAAAACUCUGUUAUAAAAAUUGUUCAUCCCUUUCAUCUUUUUUAUUUUAUUCUACCUCCAUCGAUCUUUCCUGCAAAUCUUGCAUCAAUUCAAUCAAAGAUUUUUGUUUGGAGUUUCAAUUUUCUGUUAGCUAGAUAAUUAAAAUAUUUGUGUCAUUCAUUUGCAAUUAUAUCUCUUUAAUUUGCCUCUUUUAUUUAGUGUAAGAAAUUUAUUUUUCUUUUUCAUCACCUUAAUACCAUAAGGUCUAUUCCAAAGAUGUAAAGAAGUUGGGGAAGAUUUUUAACAUUAUUUUGGUUAUAUUUUUUUCAAAAAUAAUUAGUUCUAUUCAAUUCUUUUCCGAACUUGAUUUCACAAUUGACUUAUUUGAGAUGCGGUCUUGUACCAUAAUAUCUUUGGGGAAGUUACCAAAUACUUAUUAUCCUUGUGUUUGUUGUGUUGUAGAAGUAUGAAAUGUGUGAAAAUGGUGAUGUACUCAAAAUUAUUAUGAAACUUCGUUUUGUCUAUUAGAUAUUCUAAUAUGUACUAAAUUUAUGAGAUCGAUUUGAUUAUUGGAUGAAAUGUGUAAGAAUGGUGAUGUAUGGACUUUAAUUACAAUAUCUCUACCAAUAUUAAUUGGAAAAGCAUGUUUUUUUUAUUGAAAAACAUGUUGAUAUUAAGUAGAAAAUAAAUUUUUUUUAUUGAAAAAUAGUUUUUUUUAGGGGCGGGUACCCUAUGACCCGCCCCUUUUUUCGGGUACCCGCUAUUCGGGUACCCGAAAAUAUUAGGAGCGGGUUAGGGUCGCAAAAUGGCUGAUCCGAUAUAUUAGGGUCGGGUCAGCCAAAUCAUGUUAGGGGCGGGUACCCGACCCGUGCCCACCCCUAGUAACAAGAGGAAGGAGAAGACGUUGAUUUGGUCUAGUUUUCCGAGUUGUUGCAAAUUGCAAAUUAGCCCUUGAGAUUUGGGUCAAUUAGAAUAGGGUAGCUAAAGUAUAUUAAAAAAAAACUUGUAUUUGGACUAAUUUCAGAUUAUAUAGCAUUCCUGCCUAAAUUGAAAAUAAAUUAUUUUAAGAAUGACCCAAUUAGUAUAAUUUAGUCAAACCCAAUGUUUCUUCAAAUAAAGCCAAUCUUGUUAUAACAGAACCAUUUUGAUCUAAUUGAAUCCAGGGACUCUAUUAAAAACCCAAAUAAAAAUUUUAAAUCCAAAUACAAAAAUAAAAUAAAAUAAACAAGGCAUUUUACAUUAAUGGCCUUAUACAUUAAAUUGUGAGUUAAAGUUGAUUAUUAAUAAAGGUUGAUUUAGGCCGAAAGAGAAUUGGGCUUUAGUUAAACUAGUAUCACCUUUUUAGGAUAAAGUCAAUAAUUUACCGGAUAAUUGGUUUAAUGGAUAUUUUGUUGGACUUAUUAAACUUUCCCAAACAAAUAUAAUGAACAUAUCUUAUAAAACUUAAAAACAAGAGUGUAGUAUUUUCUAUACGUGUCUCACCUUUGAUCAUGGAAUCCUAGGGUUGAACACAUUACACACAUUCUUCAGGAAGUUUUGAAAACCCAAAAUUAAUUAUAACAAUCUAAGUUUUGACAAAUAGACCCAAUAACAAUCCUAAAGAUUCAAGAUUUUCUUGUAAGUUCUAUUUGACUAAAAAGAAAAAUAUGUUUAUGGUUGGAUUCAGCUCUAGGUCCGAACAUAUAUUUAAAUUGACUUUAAAUAAUGCCGGCCAUAUCUACAAUAAAUAAAUAAAUGAGUAAGUUAAAUAAAUAAAUAGCACUUAUUUUAUGGAUAAUCAAAUUAUAGCCUCUUCUAAAAAGGGAGAACCUUCUCAAUUAGGAAACUUUCUAAAAACGAAAACUUUCUAUUUUAGGAAACUUAUCAACUACUUUCUAUAAAAGGUUCAGACAUGCUUCCUAGGGUUAUUCAAUAUAGGAAUAAGCACCUUAAGAGUUGGACAUAUGAACUAAUCAAGAUAUAUAUAUGACAAUGGUUAUAGGUUUGAAAGGAGUUCUUGGACAUGUUAAGAAUCCCUUCAAUCGAAUAGUUUGAGGUUGCUGGUGCUUACGCCUCUGCAUUUUCGAAAUGUUAAAUAUGCAUAUUUUUCAAGUAAGAGCUUUAUUUUGGUAUAUGAAGAAAUGGAUCAUGUAUGUCUGUUUCAAAUGUUUUUGCAAGCACGAAAUUAUGAAUAUUUGAAAUAUUUUGCUAUGCAAUAUUUUAUGGAAUGAGUGGCAUAUUUUAUGAAACGAAAGAAUGGUGCAUGUGACGUGUGAAAUGAUUUUAUGUUACGAAAAACUCUAAACAGUCAUGAAAUAAAUGGUAGGGGCUAUAGUUUUGUCUAAUGAUCAUGGUAAUCUGGUAUGGAGUUCGACCGAUUGACAAGGUCAAGGUAGUUCAGUAUAGAAUCCAACCAAUUGACAGUCAUGAUAGUUCAGUAUAGAGCCCGACCAAUUGACUUAUGUAUGUAAUGAGACCAAUCCGUAGUCAUGAAACCUAUUAUGAGCUAUGUUUAUAAAAUGAUAUGAUCUGAUUGAUAUUUUUAUGAUUUACAAGUAUGUUCAAUGAAUACGAUAAUUUCAAGUUAUGUAUAUUUCUAUGUCACGUUCGAUGGGGGUCACCUUUAGAACCUGCGAGACUAAGUGUCACAUUGGACGGAGGUCACUUAUGUAUAUGCCACUCACCUUCAAUGAAGUAUAUUUAUGCAACAUAUGAAAUGAGAUGACAAAUAUUUUAAAUUGAUGCAUGCAUGUGGUGUAGUGUGACUGAAUUUUUAAAUGUAUAUAGUAUGUAUAUAGCAACAUGAUCCAACAGGGGAGUAAGUACUAUCUAUUGGGUGUACGUCGUUCAACCCAUGUCUCUUUAUUUUUCUUGCAGAUCAAGAAAGUCAGCUCGUGUAUGUUUAGAAGAUAAUUGAGAGAGCUAAAUAGGUAAGAUAAUUGAGAGAGCUAAAUAGGUAAAUGUUUAAAUUCUCGGAAGUUAGAAUAAGGCAUUUUAUAGGUGCAUUUUAGUGAAGUGUAUGUAUUUCAUUAGUAUUCAUAAGUUUUAAAUUUUAGUGAAAUUUUGUAAGUUAUAAUUAUGAUGCCUUGUAUUUAUGGGAGUAAGGUCUCGUAGAUAGAUACGGCAUGCCACAUUGCAAAUCCGGUCCAAGAACCCGGAUAUGGGCGUGACAUAAAAAGCAUUCUGUAUCAAUAUUUUGAGUACAAUAGAAGCCACAGAUGAACGUGCUACUAUGCUUUCUCUCAGAAGGACGAUACUAAGAAUUCCAGGGUCACUCACUGUUGGAUACCAAGACGAAUUAAUAACGGUGACUGGGUGAUUGAUCCAGUUUGUUGAUACGUUGGCCACGGGGUAAUAUGAAGUUUGAGAGAGUACUAAAUGGAAACACGGAAGGAAAGAUAAAUAAAAAUAACAAUUGCAACAUUAAGAAAAUAGUGAUGCUGGCCCAUUCUAGCUUCUUCAGGCAAGUAUUUCAAUCAGCUCCCUGAAAUCUAAAUGAUCUAAAAUGAAAAGAACAAAAAACAACUAAUUAAGGACAAGGAUGAAGCUAUUUUUGAAGGAAAGUAUUUUUACGUGUGACUUUGUAUUUGCUAAAAAAUGAUCUGGUGAGUUUCUGCAAUCGACUGUUUUUAGGUCAUUCAGCAUUGAUGCCUCUGGCAUAGAAAAGUCGCUAGAAAUUCAUGACCACUAACACAUGCGCUCAUAGCUUUACUUGCUGUUGCUCAAGUUUGACUGCAAAGUAAUGACCCAACUCGUGUCAAUUUUCAACGAAUUUAGUUCUGUUUCUCCUCAACUGAGAGGAAAUUCCCGAAAGACCAUGGAAACUUCUUCAUUGAUCCAACAAGUUAAAAACAAUCAUCGAGAAUAUUGUUGCACAUAUCAAAUGGGAUAUUACAGUACAAAAGUACAAUAGUAUCAACUCUAGAAGAGAAGAGAUGCCCAUCUGCAUCUCUAUUUAUUAGUAAGGGCUCUUAAGAAGCAUUUAUUAACUAACAUUUUGAGUAACACAGAAGCUACAGAUGAACCGUGCUACUACCCUUCUUGGAGAAGGAUGACACUAAGAAAAACAUGAUCAUUCAGUGUAUGAAUUAACAACUGCGACUUCAUGAUUGAUACAGGUUGUCGAUGAGUUGGCCAUGGGGUAGCAUGAAGUCUGAGAAACUAUCAGAUAGAAACACCGAAGGAAAGAUAGAUACACACAAUACUUGCAACAUUAAGAAGAAAGUGAUUCUGGCUCAUUGCUUCUUCAGGCCAGUGCUUCCACUCUCCGCUAAUCAUGAUCUGAAAUGAAGAAAACAGCUUAGUACAAAAAUGAAGCUAUGUCCGAAAGAAAGUGCUUUAUACAUGGGACUUUAUGCAGAAUAAAAUUAAUAACUACAAUAGUGCAAUUCUCUGAUUCACUGUUUGUAUGUCAUUUUUCACCGCUAAAGCUUUCGAGAAGGUGAAAUCAAUGAAAGUUGUUAGCACUAGCUCUAUGCAUCCUUCAAAUGGAAAUCUAGUUGGCAUUUCUGGUACAUUGUCUAAGUCGCCCUCCUCAACCUCCCUGGCUAAUCUUUUCUUUCAGAUUAUACAGAUUGUUAAACCAAUUAGGACAGUCAAUAAAAUGAAAGCUGCAAUAGCAUAUCCCAAUAUGCUAUACAGAUUGUUAAACCAAUUAGGACAGUCAAGAGUUGGAGUACCUUUAGGAGAAGUUUUUGCAGGAGCUGAUGCAUUUGGUGUGAUCUGCACCUUCAUGAACACAGAUGAAUUAUAAUGAGUCUUGUCCUGCUCAUUGUUCAUCAAUGAAAAGAUCUGGGCAGG
This 22050-nucleotide long non-coding RNA is filed under the name Coffea arabica (coffee). Its description in RNAcentral is "long non-coding RNA (CARA_LNC003872)". Lineage: Eukaryota; Viridiplantae; Streptophyta; Magnoliopsida; Gentianales; Rubiaceae. The record is from RNAcentral.